UGCCACCAUGAUGAAAUUUAUUUGCUACUCUUGACUAUGAGGGUGACGAGAAUUCUUACCACCAUUGUUCUAACUGAGGCA
Small nucleolar RNA from Echinops telfairi (small Madagascar hedgehog), 81 nucleotides. Its record names the gene SNORD24. It matches the Rfam family "Small nucleolar RNA SNORD24". Rfam says of the family: U24 is a member of the C/D class of snoRNA which contain the C (UGAUGA) and D (CUGA) box motifs. C/D box snoRNAs have been shown to act as methylation guides for a number of RNA targets. The record is from Ensembl. NCBI's taxonomy places the organism in Eukaryota, Metazoa, Chordata, Mammalia, Afrosoricida, Tenrecidae.